CUGCUGGCAACUGAUGCUGCUUCUGCUCAAGGGUGGAUUGUUGAAGGUAGAGAUGAAGAAAGCUCUGAUGUCAACACUGUGACUGGACUAACAUGGCAACAGAUCGUAGAUGCAUGUGGGUCAGAGGAGGACACAAAACUGUGGAAGAGUGCUACUUUAGCUCAGCCAACAGACAUCGAAGAAGAGAAACUCCCAUCUGAAAAUGAAGAAGAAGAACCCAUAAAUGAGGAAGAAAUAGAAUUUGAAUCUGACAAAGAUGAAGUGAUCACAACUGGUUAUGAGCUGCAAGAGCAAGAAGUAGUCAAUGAUGACUGA
Molecule: unclassified non-coding RNA, 315 nt
Filed under: Zea mays
Lineage: Eukaryota; Viridiplantae; Streptophyta; Magnoliopsida; Poales; Poaceae
Description: misc RNA Zm00001eb385770
Source: RNAcentral